AUGAACGCUGGCGGCGUGCCUAAUACAUGCAAGUCGAGCGAACGGACGAGAAGCUUGCUUCUCUGAUGUUAGCGGCGGACGGGUGAGUAACACGUGGAUAACCUACCUAUAAGACUGGGAUAACUUCGGGAAACCGGAGCUAAUACCGGAUAAUAUUUUGAACCGCAUGGUUCAAAAGUGAAAGACGGUCUUGCUGUCACUUAUAGAUGGAUCCGCGCUGCAUUAGCUAGUUGGUAAGGUAACGGCUUACCAAGGCAACGAUGCAUAGCCGACCUGAGAGGGUGCGGGGCAACAGGAGGCAUGAGACCGGGACGAGAGCAAGACGGGGGGAGGAAGGGGGGGAUUUUCCGGAAUGUGGUAGAGUCUAAAGACACAGCGAGGAGGGAGUGAUAAAGUUGUUGGAAACGUAAAACUGUGUUAUGGGGGAAAAACAUAUGGCAACGUAACGGUGCCAAUCAGGAGGUGACUUAAUAGGAAGAACACGACUAAUCAGGUG
RNAcentral lists this ribosomal RNA (496 nucleotides) under uncultured bacterium. RNAcentral's name for it is "partial 16S ribosomal RNA". It matches the Rfam family "Bacterial small subunit ribosomal RNA", at positions 30 to 507 of the family's 1533-position model. The record is from RNAcentral.